RNAcentral lists this ribosomal RNA (504 nucleotides) under uncultured bacterium. RNAcentral's name for it is "bacterial SSU rRNA". It matches the Rfam family "Bacterial small subunit ribosomal RNA", at positions 24 to 518 of the family's 1533-position model. The record is from RNAcentral.
UCAGGAUGAACGCUAGCUACAGGCUAACACAUGCAAGUCGAGGGGCAGCAUUGGAGUAGCAAUACUCAGAUGGCGACCGGCGCACGGGUGAGUAACACGUAUCCAACCUGCCGCUUACUCGGGGAUAGCCUUUCGAAAGAAAGAUUAAUACCCGAUGGUAUAAAGAGUUCGCAUGUUCUCUUUAUCAAAGAAUUUCGGUAAGCGAUGGGGAUGCGUUCCAUUAGAUUGUUGGCGGGGUAACGGCCCACCAAGUCUACGAUGGAUAGGGGGUUCUGAGAGGAAGGUCCCCCACAUUGGAACUGAGACACGGUCCAAACUCCUACGGGAGGCAGCAGUGAGGAAUAUUGGUCAAUGGACGAGAGUCUGAACCAGCCAAAAGUAGCGUGAAGGAUGACUGCCCUAUGGGUUGUAAACUUUCUUUUAUAAGGGAAUAAAGUGAGGGACGUGUCCCUUUUUGUAUGUACCUUAUGAAUAAGGAUCGGCUAACUCCGUGCCAGCCGCCGC